CAGCAGCCACGGUAAUACAGAGGGUGCGAGCGUUAAUCGGAAUUACUGGGCGUAAAGCGUGCGUAGGCGGCUUUUUAAGUCGGAUGUGAAAUCCCUGAGCUUAACUUAGGAAUUGCAUUCGAUACUGGGAAGCUAGAGUAUGGGAGAGGAUGGUAGAAUUCCAGGUGUAGCGGUGAAAUGCGUAGAGAUCUGGAGGAAUACCGAUGGCGAAGGCAGCCAUCUGGCCUAAUACUGACGCUGAGGUACGAAAGCAUGGGGAGCAAACAGGAUUAGAUACCCCGGUAGUCCCUGUCUCUUAUAC
RNAcentral lists this ribosomal RNA (301 nucleotides) under uncultured bacterium. RNAcentral describes it as "partial 16S ribosomal RNA". It matches the Rfam family "Bacterial small subunit ribosomal RNA", at positions 509 to 807 of the family's 1533-position model. The record is from RNAcentral.